UACGGAGGGUGCGAGCGUUAAUCGGAAUAACUGGGCGUAAAGGGCACGCAGGCGGUUUGUUAAGUCAGAUGUGAAAUCCCCGGGCUCAACCUGGGAACUGCAUCUGAUACUGGCAAGCUUGAGUCUCGUAGAGGGGGGUAGAAUUCCAGGUGUAGCGGUGAAAUGCGUAGAGAUCUGGAGGAAUACCGGUGGCGAAGGCAGCCCCGUGGGAAUGUACUGACGCUCAUGUGCGAAAGCGUGGGGAGCAAACAGA
RNAcentral lists this ribosomal RNA (253 nucleotides) under uncultured bacterium. Its description in RNAcentral is "partial 16S ribosomal RNA". It matches the Rfam family "Bacterial small subunit ribosomal RNA", at positions 524 to 776 of the family's 1533-position model. The record is from RNAcentral.